UAGACAGGACCUGACUGAGAGGCCUCAGC
RNAcentral lists this non-coding RNA (29 nucleotides) under Rattus norvegicus (Norway rat). The record is from RNAcentral. Lineage: Eukaryota; Metazoa; Chordata; Mammalia; Rodentia; Muridae.